GUUAAACCACGAGAUGGCACAAAUUGGAGUUUGAGAAGCUCAAGUUAUGAGGAAACUGGUGUUCAGAGCAGUAGAAGGACUUCAUCAAGGCCACAGAGGCCUUCUGGGUACCAUCCCUGUGCUCCUGCUGGGACAUCAACUGCCGCCUAGUUUCUGCUCUAUUCCAUCCCCGCUCAUCUGUGAAAAAUGGUGGCAGCAAACACUUCCUUAUGAGAAUGUGGUGAAAAUGGAUUAUGUGGUUGGUGCAUUUGGAAUCCCGAAAAGGAAAUGGGCUGCAAAUCCAGAUCUCAUCACAGGGAGACCAGAGAGACAGGUAAAUACCACUGCUGAGAGGCGAUGAAUCUGGUGGUAGUUAUGAAAUGCUCAUGAGAUGUGGCUUGGCUUCAUUAAGGCCCCUGUUUUUGGAUGUUCUUUUAUUUAAAGGUGGCCAUUGGCCAAGUGACAAGAACCAGUGGGGUGAUGGGUCCGCAGUAGGGCACAUGGAAAUAUUAAAGAAUUGAGGGUAUUUAUUCUGUAGGAGACGAGAGAAAGGCAGGGACCAGUGUUUGAGCCUUCGGAGGUCUGUCACUUAGAAGAAAGAUAACAGUUCUGAGUAAUCCUGAAUGGGUGGAAGCUGAAAGGAGCCAAUAUUUGAAAACAGCUAAAGGAAGAUAUUUCUAACCAUUAGAAUUGCCUGAUUGUCCAGUUGAAUUCAAACGAAUAUGAACUGAACACUGACUAUACAGAGAUGAAUAAAACCUUGAUGGUCUAUGAUUUAUAAUUCA
RNAcentral lists this long non-coding RNA (764 nucleotides) under Felis catus (domestic cat). Its description in RNAcentral is "lncRNA (ENSFCAG00000045644.2)". The record is from RNAcentral. Lineage: Eukaryota; Metazoa; Chordata; Mammalia; Carnivora; Felidae.